UGUCUCCACACAGCAGUGAGGUGAACCGAGCAAACCACAAACUCAGCUCCAGUUUCAGUUAUUACAUGUUCAGAAGAGUUCAGGUGCUGUGUACUGAUUAAAGAUGAGAUUCCUGCUGCAUGUUUUAUUAAAUCAGAAUUUAUUGAAGGACGCGAGAAUCUGACGACCGACAAACUGCUGCUAAGCUACUGAGGCUCGAUGAAAAAUGAGCUGCUGAGAGCUGCUGAGGAUGAGAGAGUCUCCGACAGAGAGACACAGGACUAUGCUGUGAAAGAGAAAUUACAAGGAGGCCUGGAUCUCAGAAACUUGAAUAGUCUACCAGAAGAUUAGUACAGAUGAUGGAGCUGGAGCUGAGAGGGUUAGGGACCCUGCUCAGGGUCCAAAAAGUGGCUGGAUUAAAUUAAAUUAUAUCUUACUGAUUCACCCCGUUUGCUAACGGUCCUGAUGAUACGGUUGAGGAGAUCCUGGCUCGGGUCAGCAGUGGUAAAUUAUGCCUGACUGGUGGAUACUGGAACUCCGUCUCAAACGAAGCCAAGGAUCUGGUGUCCAGGAUGCUCCAUGUGGAUCCUCAUAAGAGACUGACCUCCUCUCAGGUCCUUCAUCACCCCUGGAUCGUCCACAAAGACCAGCUCCCCAAAUACCAGCUCAACCGCCACGACGCACCGCAGCUCGUUAAGGAAGCGAUGGCAGCCACGUAUUUGGCGUUGAACAGUAAGGUCUCUACGGUGUUGGACCCCAUCGGUUGUUCCACGUUGGCACAGCGGCGCGGCUUAAAAAAACAGACCUCUACUGCCCUCUGACCUUUCACCUUUAUAACUCUCAGCCAAUCAGGAGCAGCGGACCAAAUGUUCUAAAGGGAGUGAAAGUGCUCGUCCAAUCAAAAACGACAAUCAGUGUAAAAUCAUUAAUAUACAGUGUGUGUGUGUGUGUGAGAGAG
This is a long non-coding RNA of Trichomycterus rosablanca, 937 nucleotides long. RefSeq lists it as uncharacterized. Lineage: Eukaryota; Metazoa; Chordata; Actinopteri; Siluriformes; Trichomycteridae. The record is from RefSeq and is a predicted model, not a curated record. The transcript is spliced from 7 exons.